AUGGCGAAUUUUGGGGGAGUGCGACACGCCGUCAACUACGUGUACGAUUUCAUAGCACUUUCCUCAGACGAAGAACUACUAGACACAGUCUCGAUUAGGAGCCCGCGCCCAUUCCCUAUCGAGAUUAGCCUACGGAUCAUCCGAGACACCAUCCUAGGAGAUGGACUUGUCCAUCCGUUAUGCUUCAAUCUAGCUGUGCGUAAGAUUACUACCGAUGCAGCAGAGAGGAGUGCAGGCACCAGCUCUGUUGGAAAGACACAUUUUCUCAAUUUGGGAUUCCAUGUGCAAGCACGGGCGCUAAGGCAGACUUGGUUAAGCCAAGAAGAGCGCACCAAUGCACUGAUUAACAAUGUUGUGCUUGAGCCUUUUCCAAGAUACGACGUGUUUCACACCCCUACAAUUGACCCCCAUGGCACUGAACUUCAGAGGGAAGCCCUUUUAGUGAAGCAAGAAUUCAGCUCUGUAUUACAACAGGAGGCCCCUGAUAGGAACAGCCAACUUGUAGAAUGGCCCGAACAAGAUAACAUUCAUGUUUCACCUCGGCGCAUGGACUCCGGAUUCAAAGUUCUACAGGAGAUGGCCCAUCUGUAUGAAACCAUCGGUAAUGACAUGGUUCAUAACAUGCCUAGGACUGACGAUCCACAAAGUCUCAGGAAGCGACUAAUGGUUCAGCUGUUGAUGGUUAGGGAUAAAGAAGCAAAGGAUAACAUUCCAAAGCAAGUUAGAGCAGCGUUGAGAUUUAUUGGUGGCUAA
Molecule: ribosomal RNA, 753 nt
Filed under: Triticum aestivum (bread wheat)
Lineage: Eukaryota; Viridiplantae; Streptophyta; Magnoliopsida; Poales; Poaceae
Description: partial small subunit ribosomal RNA
Source: RNAcentral